GGACCCGCUGCCCAAACUUGCAAGUUCGAAGCGGACAGAAGGGAAGCUUGCUCCCGGAUGUUAGCGGCGGACGGGUGAGUAACACGUGGGUAACCUGCCUGUAAGACUGGGAUAACUCCGGGAAACCGGAGCUAAUACCGGAUAGUUCCUUUGAACCGCAUGGUUCAAGGAUGAAAGACGGUUUCGGCUUGUCACUUACAGAUGGACCCGCGGCGCAUUAGCUAGUUGGUGGGGUAAUGGCUCACCAAGGCGACGAUGCGUAGCCGACCUGAGAGGGUGAUCGGCCACACUGGGACUGAGACACGGCCCAGACUCCUACGGGAGGCAGCAGUAGGGAAUCUUCCGCAAUGGACGAAAGUCUGACGGAGCAACGCCGCGUGAGUGAUGAAGGUUUUCGGAUCGUAAAGCUCUGUUGUUAGGGAAGAACAAGUGCGAGAGUAACUGCUCGCACCUUGACGGUACCUAACCAGAAAGCCACGGCUAACUACGUGCCAGCAGCCGCGGUAAUACGUAGGUGGCAAGCGUUGUCGGGAAUUAUUGGGCGUAAAGGGCUCGCAGGCGGUUUCUUAAGUCUGAUGUGAAAGCCCCCGGCUCAACCGGGGAGGGUCAUUGGAAACUGGGAAACUUGAGUGCAGAAGAGGAGAGUGGAAUUCCACGUGUAGCGGUGAAAUGCGUAGAGAUGUGGAGGAACACCAGUGGCGAAGGCGACUCUCUGGUCUGUAACUGACGCUGAGGAGCGAAAGCGUGGGGAGCGAACAGGAUUAGAUACCCUGGUAGUCCACGCCGUAAACGAUGAGUGCUAAGUGUUAGGGGGUUUCCGCCCCUUAGUGCUGCAGCUAACGCAUUAAGCACUCCGCCUGGGGAGUACGGUCGCAAGACUGAAACUCAAAGGAAUUGACGGGGGCCCGCACAAGCGGUGGAGCAUGUGGUUUAAUUCGAAGCAACGCGAAGAACCUUACCAGGUCUUGACAUCCUCUGACAACCCUAGAGAUAGGGCUUUCCCUUCGGGGACAGAGUGACAGGUGGUGCAUGGUUGUCGUCAGCUCGUGUCGUGAGAUGUUGGGUUAAGUCCCGCAACGAGCGCAACCCUUGAUCUUAGUUGCCAGCAUUCAGUUGGGCACUCUAAGGUGACUGCCGGUGACAAACCGGAGGAAGGUGGGGAUGACGUCAAAUCAUCAUGCCCCUUAUGACCUGGGCUACACACGUGCUACAAUGGACAGAACAAAGGGCUGCAAGACCGCAAGGUUUAGCCAAUCCCAUAAAUCUGUUCUCAGUUCGGAUCGCAGUCUGCGAACUCGACUGCGUGAAGCUGGAAUCGCAGUAAUCGCGGAUCAGCAUGCCGCGGUGAAUACGUUCCCGGGCCUUUAGCACCGCCCGUCACACCACGAGAGUUUGCAACCCCGAGUCGGUGAGGUACCUUUAGGAAGCCAGCCGCGAAAGGUGAAAGU
Molecule: ribosomal RNA, 1448 nt
Filed under: Bacillus pumilus
Lineage: Bacteria; Bacillati; Bacillota; Bacilli; Caryophanales; Bacillaceae
Description: bacterial SSU rRNA
Rfam family: Bacterial small subunit ribosomal RNA
Source: RNAcentral